RNAcentral lists this ribosomal RNA (611 nucleotides) under uncultured eukaryote. RNAcentral's name for it is "eukaryotic LSU rRNA". The stretch from base 192 to 345 matches the Rfam family "5.8S ribosomal RNA". The record is from RNAcentral.
UUCCGUAGGUGAACCUGCGGAAGGAUCAUUAACACGAAUAUCCAUUUUACACCUUAAUCAUAAACGUGGCGAACUUUUCGGAGUGAGCCUAUAACUUAUUGCCGGGUCGUGCCCAGGUGCGGCUUAGGCGUAAGGCGUUUAACCUUUUUUUCAACCACUACUGUGUUUGAAAUUUUAUACUUCUGUAUCACAACUUUUAACGGUGGAUGCCUCGGCUUGAGCAUCGAUGAAGGACGCAGCAAAAUGCGAUAAGCACUGCGAAUGGCAGAAUUUCGAGAAUCAAUAGAAUGCUGAACGCAUACUGCACUUUUGGGUCACUCCGAAAGUAUGUUUUCUUCAGGGCGUUUAUACUCUAAUGCAAUCUGAUGCGCUAACUUUGUUAGCCUCAUGAUUCGCGUCUUUGUGUGUCAGCGUCUGUAAAGCGCUCUAGCGCCGCUGACACAUUAAAUUAAGUAGUUGGCUUCAACUAUUCAAGCUACCGCUUUGUGUUGAACAUCUGUUCUCAUAAGUGGCACUUGAUAUGGAGCUGAUAGGACUGCAAAACUUUGAUAUAACAUUUUCGCAUGAAGUGAAACAGGGCUACCCGCUGAAUUUAAGCAUAUCAAUAAGCG